AUAUAGUAAUAGUAAUCGUCCGCUUAUAUGGCGCGCUCAUAUCCAGGCACAUUGCCUGCUCACGGCGCUAAGUACAUUACUUUGUGAGAGUAGA
Molecule: long non-coding RNA, 94 nt
Organism: Haliotis rubra (blacklip abalone)
Lineage: Eukaryota; Metazoa; Mollusca; Gastropoda; Lepetellida; Haliotidae
Exons: 3
Source: RefSeq, a predicted model, not a curated record